Long non-coding RNA from Amblyraja radiata (thorny skate), 178 nucleotides. RefSeq lists it as uncharacterized. The record is from RefSeq and is a predicted model, not a curated record. The transcript has 4 exons. Lineage: Eukaryota; Metazoa; Chordata; Chondrichthyes; Rajiformes; Rajidae.
CAGCAAAGCAUACAGCAGAGCAGUCUAAUCCCGCUCGACGCUCUCAGCGACAGAAGAGGAGACCUCAGUAUCUGCACGAUUAUCAGCUGUGAAGCCAUAAAUGUUAUUUUCACUGAGCUGUUAUUUUGGACUGAUUGCAUAUGGACAUAUUUGGAUAUAUAUGAUUGCAUAUGAUAAC